Molecule: non-coding RNA, 176 nt
Filed under: Tissierella creatinophila DSM 6911
Lineage: Bacteria; Bacillati; Bacillota; Tissierellia; Tissierellales; Tissierellaceae
Description: 6S / SsrS RNA
Rfam family: 6S / SsrS RNA
About the family: E. coli 6S RNA was the first non coding RNA to be sequenced, but its function was unknown until recently.
Source: Rfam by way of RNAcentral
AGAAUACUGAAAUGUUUGUGAAUCUUUGUAAUUCAACCGACAUAACAGACACGGGAGUCUGCGUUUGAUAUAGGAUAACAUGCCACUGUAGAGUGGACUUUAGAAUAUAUUGACAAGAAACCCCCUUAUAAAAAGGCGGGUGUGAAUUAUCUGGGUUUACGGCAUUUUGGUUACAA